GAUGAACGCUGGCGGCGUGCCUAAUACAUGCAAGUCGAACGCUUCACAUAUGUGAAGAGUGGCGAACGGGUGAGUAAUACAUAAGUAACCUGGCCUUUACAGGGGGAUAACUAUUGGAAACGAUAGCUAAGACCGCAUAGGUGUCAUAACCGCAUGGAGAUGAUAUGAAAUAUGCUACGGCAUAGGUAGAGGAUGGACUUAUGGCGCAUUAGCUAGUUGGAGGGGUAACGGCCCACCAAGGCGACGAUGCGUAGCCGACCUGAGAGGGUGACCGGCCACACUGGGACUGAGACACGGCCCAGACUCCUACGGGAGGCAGCAGUAGGGAAUUUUCGGCAAUGGGGGAAACCCUGACCGAGCAACGCCGCGUGAAGGAAGAAGUAAUUCGUUAUGUAAACUUCUGUCAUAGAGGAAGAACGGUGCGUGUAGGGAAUGACAUGCAAGUGACGGUACUCUAUAAGAAAG
RNAcentral lists this ribosomal RNA (465 nucleotides) under uncultured bacterium. Its description in RNAcentral is "bacterial SSU rRNA". It matches the Rfam family "Bacterial small subunit ribosomal RNA", at positions 28 to 490 of the family's 1533-position model. The record is from RNAcentral.